AUGGUGCCACCAUCGCUCCAGAUCGCUGCCACCCACUCCAACCCCUGCCUGGGUCUCUGGCAGAUCCAGAACAUGGUGGCCGUGACCCUGCUGGAGUGCGCGGGGGACCUCCAGCCCCCCGGGGGGUCCCUGCGCCUCCUCUGCCGAGGGUCCGGGUUCAAUUUUGGCAGUUUCACCAUGUACUGGGUCCGCCAGAUACCCGGGCAGGGGCUGGAGUGGGUGGCAGGGAUCUACAACACUGGUGCUUACACCUACUACGCGCCAUCGAUCAAGGGCCGGGUCACAAUCUCCAGGGACAACGGGCAGAGCUCGGUGACGCUGACCAUGAGCAACCUCAAGGACGAGGAUUCCGGAUCCUAUUUCUGUGCCAAAUGUUAUGCCAGUAGUUGUGCUGAUGCUAGUGCUGGUUAUGGUGUUGAUGGUGCGGCCGAGGUGUCGGGGGCUGCUCCGUGGGGCUGGGCUGGAAUCCUCUCAGGGAGCUCUGGAGAAUAA
Melozone crissalis (California towhee) is the source of this 492-nucleotide non-coding RNA. The record is from the annotation of a RefSeq genome assembly. NCBI's taxonomy places the organism in Eukaryota, Metazoa, Chordata, Aves, Passeriformes, Passerellidae.